AGGACGAACGCUGGCGGCGUGCUUAACACAUGCAAGUCGAGCGGAAAGGCCUCUUCGGGGGUACUCGAGCGGCGAACGGGUGAGUAACACGUGAGUAACCUGCCUUCAGCUUUGGGAUAACCCUCGGAAACGGGGGCUAAUACCGGAUAUUCACUGUUCUGGGCGUCUGGGGUGGUGGAAAGUUUUUCGGCUGGGGAUGGGCUCGCGGCCUAUCAGCUUGUUGGUGGGGUAAUGGCCUACCAAGGCGGCGACGGGUAGCCGGCCUGAGAGGGCGACCGGCCACACUGGGACUGAGACACGGCCCAGACUCCUACGGGAGGCAGCAGUGGGGAAUAUUGCACAAUGGGCGGAAGCCUGAUGCAGCGACGCCGCGUGAGGGAUGACGGCCUUCGGGUUGUAAACCUCUUUCGACCCUGACGAAGCGUGAGUGACGGUAGGGGGAGAAGAAGCACCGGCCAACUACGUGCCAGCAGCCGCGGUAAGACGUAGGGUGCGAGCGUUGUCCGGAUUUAUUGGGCGUAAAGAGCUCGUAGGCGGCUCGUCGCGUCGACCGUGAAAACCCGCGGCUUAACUGCGGGCUUGCGGUUGAUACGGGCGGGCUAGAGUUCGGUAGGGGAGACUGGAAUUCCUGGUGUAGCGGUGAAAUGCGCAGAUAUCAGGAGGAACACCGGUGGCGAAGGCGGGUCUCUGGGCCGAUACUGACGCUGAGGAGCGAAAGCGUGGGGAGCGAACAGGAUUAGAUACCCUGGUAGUCCACGCUGUAAACGUUGGGCGCUAGGUGUGGGGGGCCUCUCCGGUUCUCUGUGCCGCAGCUAACGCAUUAAGCGCCCCGCCUGGGGAGUACGGCCGCAAGGCUAAAACUC
Molecule: ribosomal RNA, 863 nt
Filed under: uncultured bacterium
Lineage: Bacteria
Description: bacterial SSU rRNA
Rfam family: Bacterial small subunit ribosomal RNA
Source: RNAcentral